AUGGCGGAGACGCAGGCAGAAAUCGAUUCUUACAUUGAGCUUUACUGGGCUGAUAGGAUGGAGGCGUUCUUGGAGGAGGAGACGGAGAGAAGGGAGAGUGGUUCCGGCGGCGAAAUGAAGAAAAGGAAGACGGCGGCGGGAGUAGGCUCGAAGAAGGCGGCGGCGGCGGAGGAUCCGGUGGAGGAGAGCGACAACGAAGAGGGGCAAGUGGAGUCGAUCAGUAUAGCGAAAUCGAAUCUGGCGAGGACAAAAAAGAUUCUAAACGCAAAGAUUGCCAAGCUUGUGGGAGUGGAGAGCGGGGAGGGCCCCCAUUAUAAGACCAAGACGAUGACCGAGGAAGACGUCGCGGCGGCAGCCAUGUACAGAGCCAAGGGGGAGGAGGCGCACAUGAACCAGGAUCGGAAGGGGGAGCUGGACGCCGUCAUCAAGUGGAUCGCCACGGGAGAUCCCGAGGCAAUCAGGAUCUCGGACCAGUGGAUGGCUGAAAAUGUGGAGGCCAUGAAGCUGGAGCCAAAAGAUCCUACCGACUGGCUGGCCGAACAAGCCAAGGACUACCGUGAAUUCUGGGAUCUUCUAUGGGCCGGCUCCUUCGGUAAAUGGGAGGAUAUCACGCUUAUCCAACCCAUGCUUUACACGGACGAGAAGCCUCCGCAAGAUGUGUACCCCAUCCGAACUCUGCAGGUCUUUUCGGUCAAAGUAGCAGCCAUCACAGAGGAAUUGGGGUGGCCGCUGCAUGUCUUUGGUAUCGUUGCCGCACGCGACUCGUUGGAUCACAAUCGCAACAUUAUCUUUGGCCGUCAAAGGGAUAACUGCCAAACCAUCGACAGUGAGAAUCGAUACCUGACACUGACAGGUCCUACCCGUGCUGUUGUGGUUGUGGAUCCUGUGUUCUUUGAGGUUGACUUGCGAGUGAAGGGCAGAACUGAAUCUGAGGAUAGAGCUUUGAGCUAUCUAGUUGUUAAUUGCCAUGAGUCUGGCUGUCGUGAAUCUUACAUGUUUAAACGUGUCGAAACUAGCAAGCUUAGCACAGUGGAAUUGACAUUGGGUGACAUGGCUGAAUCUGUGGAGGCCACCAUCAGUGUCAGAGUUGUCGAUGGGGAAUGGCCAGAAGGCUUUGGAGGUCUAAUUUCUGCCCGUACCGCCAGUAUCAGUGACAUAGAAAUCAAGUUGCUUGCUUUCGAUUAA
This 1185-nucleotide ribosomal RNA is filed under the name Triticum aestivum (bread wheat). Its description in RNAcentral is "partial small subunit ribosomal RNA". The record is from RNAcentral. Lineage: Eukaryota; Viridiplantae; Streptophyta; Magnoliopsida; Poales; Poaceae.